CCCUUAGACGUUCUGGGCCGCACGCGCGCUACACUGACGGAGCCAGCGAGUAUAAACCUUGGCCGAGAGGUCUGGGAAAUCUUGUGAAACUCCGUCGUGCUGGGGAUAGAGCAUUGUAAUUAUUGCUCUUCAACGAGGAAUUCCUAGUAAGCGCAAGUCAUCAGCUUGCGUUGAUUACGUCCCUGCCCUUUGUACACACCGCCCGUCGCUACUACCGAUUGAAUGGCUUAGUGAGGCUUCCGGAUUGGUUUAGAGAAGGGGGCAACUCCAUCUUGGAACCGAGAAGCUAGUCAAGCUUGGUCAUUUAGAGGAAGUAAAAGUCGUAACA
Molecule: ribosomal RNA, 328 nt
Filed under: uncultured eukaryote
Lineage: Eukaryota
Description: partial 18S ribosomal RNA
Rfam family: Eukaryotic small subunit ribosomal RNA
Source: RNAcentral